UGGCGAACGGGUGAGUAACGCGUGAGGAACCUGCCUCAAAGAGGGGGACGAACAGUGGAAACGACUGCUAAUACCGCAUAAGCCCACGGGUCGGCAUCGACCUGAGGGAAAAGGAGCAAUCCGCUUUGAGAUGGCCUCGCGUCCGAUUAGCUAGUUGGUGAGGUAACGGCCCACCAAGGCGACGAUCGGUAGCCGGACUGAGAGGUUGAACGGCCACAUUGGGACUGAGACACGGCCCAG
This 240-nucleotide ribosomal RNA is filed under the name uncultured bacterium. Its description in RNAcentral is "partial 16S ribosomal RNA". It matches the Rfam family "Bacterial small subunit ribosomal RNA", at positions 96 to 334 of the family's 1533-position model. The record is from RNAcentral.